AUUUACUUUAAAUUUAAAGAAUUUGGCGGUAGUUUAGUCUAUUCAGAGGAACUUGUUUAAAUAAAAUUAAUCGAUACGCCCCGUUUUAUCUUACUUGUUUUAAAGGCUUGUAUACCGUCAUUUUAAGAUAAUUUUAUUAAAAAGAAAAUUAUUAUAAGUAAUUAGAGUUAAAGAAAUUAGAUCAUGGUGCAGCUAAUGGGCAAGUUAUAAAUGAGUUACAAUAAAGUUUAUUUAUAUGGAAUAUGUGUUGAAAAUUAUUAUGAAGGAGGAUUUGAUUGUAAUUUAAAUUUAAUAAAUUUAAGAGAGAUGAGCUCUAAAUUAUGUACACAUCGC
This 333-nucleotide ribosomal RNA is filed under the name Globonautes macropus. Its description in RNAcentral is "partial 12S ribosomal RNA". Lineage: Eukaryota; Metazoa; Arthropoda; Malacostraca; Decapoda; Deckeniidae. The record is from RNAcentral.